This 97-nucleotide transfer RNA is filed under the name compost metagenome. Its description in RNAcentral is "tRNA-Arg". The record is from RNAcentral.
UUGCGGCACUGGCCGGUAUUGGUUUGCUGAGCACGGCUUCGGUCUGGGCGCAGGAUGCGGUGGCGGCCGAUGCCGGUGCCGAGCCUGCUGCGGAAGU